GACGAACGCUGGCGGCGUGCUUAACACAUGCAAGUCGAACGGUAAGGCCCUUCGGGGUACACGAGUGGCGUACGGGUGAGUAACACGUGGGUGAUCUGCCCUGCACUUCGGGAUAAGCCUGGGAAACUGGGUCUAAUACCGGAUAGGACCCUGGGAUGCAUGUCCUGGGGUGGAAAGCUUUUGCGGUGUGGGAUGGGCCCGCGGCCUAUCAGCUUGUUGGUGGGGUGAUGGCCUACCAAGGCGACGACGGGUAGCCGGCCUGAGAGGGUGACCGGCCACACUGGGCCUGAGAUACGGCCCAGACUCAUACGGGAGGCAGCAGUGGGGAAUAUUGCACAAUGGGCGCAAGCCUGAUGCAGCGACGCCGCGUGAGGGAUGACGGCCUUCGGGUUGUAAACCUCUUUCAGCACCGACGAAGCGCAAGUGACGGUAGGUGCAGAAGAAGGACCGGCCAACUACGUGCCAGCAGCCGCAGUAA
This 478-nucleotide ribosomal RNA is filed under the name uncultured bacterium. RNAcentral describes it as "partial 16S ribosomal RNA". It matches the Rfam family "Bacterial small subunit ribosomal RNA", at positions 28 to 523 of the family's 1533-position model. The record is from RNAcentral.